UAUUUCUCUUUCUGCGGUGGGUUUUAAGAAAGCUUUGCCCUUCCUGGUAUCAGUGUGGUGCUGGGGGUGGGGGAGUGUUCUGCCCUCUCUGAGAGGGACUUAAAUUCAAAGGUUUAUACAUUCGUUCAAUAAGUAUUUAUGGAAAGCCUAGUACCAGGCACUGUCCUAGGUGCCCGGAGUAAAGCAGUAAACAAAUCAAGGCCAUUUCUGUCACAAAGAGCCUAUUUUCUGGGAAGGGUCAGUAAACAAUAAACAAAAAGCAAGUAACACUAACUGAGUGAUUACAUGUGCCAGUUACAUUUAUUACCUCAUCAGCGCUCAGAACACUGAGGAGGUAGGGGCUGUUAUUGUCCCCAUUUCACAGAGGAGGAAACUGAGGUACAGAGAGGUAAAAAUAACUCGCUCAAUGUCACACAGCUAGUACAUGGUGCUGUUGGCAUUCCAACCCAGGUAAUCUGCCUCCAGAUUUCAUGCUCUUAAACACUAUGCUAUUAUGUCUCCCUGUUAAAAAACUGCCUGAUCAGUUUAUUUCUACCUAAAUAAAUAUCAUAAAGAAACAUCAUAUGACAGUGAGUGUGACGCAGAACAGCGAAGCAAGGUAAACCGUUUUAAGGGUCCCUGGAUGUUGGUGUGCGUGCGCGUGCUGCUUUGGCUGGCGUGGCUGGAGCAGGUGUCUCUCCUAAGGUGAUUUGAAGGAAGUGACACAUUGAUGCAUGUAGCUAUCUGGGCUAAGAGUAUUCCAAGCAGAGGGAACAGCAAAGGCAGAGGCCCCAGGGUAGAUGUGGGCUUGGCAAUAGCAAAAGACAAGCAGGGAGGCCGCCAUGGUCGCAUCGAGUGAGCACAGUGGACAGGAGCAGAUGAGGCGGUCAGCAGCGAGAUCCCGCGGGGCCUUAUAGGGCGUGGGAAGGUCUUUGAUUUUACUGAAUGAGAAGGGGAGCCAUCCAAGAACUUUUGAGCAGGAAAACAACGUGAUUAAAAGGAUCACUUUGAAUGCGGUGCAGAGAGUAGUCUAGGGCCGGGGUUGGCAAUACUGUGUAGGCCUGAGCGCCAGAUCCAGCCUGCCACCUGUUUUUGUGCAGCCAGCAAACUAAGAAUGCUUUUCACAUUUUUAGGUGGCUGAAAAAGUAAGGUGAGUAGUAAUAUUUUGUGGCACCUGAAACUUACAUGAAGUCCAGGUUUCAGUGUCCGUUUAAGUUCCAGUUUUAUUCGCACAGGGCCGUGCUCAUUUGUCUGCGUAUUGUCUGAGGCUGCUUCCAAGCUGCAACGGCCAAGUCGAGUCGUUGCAGCAGAGACCAUCUGGCCCACAGAGUCUACAGUAUUGACUGUCUGGCUCUUUAAGAAAAAGUUUGCUGAUUCCUGGUUUAGGGGGAUAGGGAUGGAGUCAGGCAGACCAGUGAGGAGACUGUGACAGGGGCCGGGGGUGGCUUGGACCAGAGCAGCAAGAAGUGAUCAGAUGCUGGAUGUGUUUCAAAGGGAGAGCUGAUUGGCUCUCUGCAGACAUGGGGAGUUGGGGGCGAUGCCAGUGUUUUUGUACCGAGCAACUGUAAAUGCAGUUCCCAUUCACCGAGAUGGGGAAGACGGUGGGAGCAGCGGGCUGGGAGGUGGGUGGGGAGAAAGGUCUCGGCUGUGUUAACGUCAUGAUGCCGCGUGGAGGUGUCCAGUAAGCAGUCACGGUUCAGAGGAGGGGCCUAGCCUUGAGCCAGUCUUCAGUGUUGUCAGCGUAUCGAAGGUUCUUAAAGCUCUGGGAUAGAUGAAAUCCGUAGUGGGUGUGGAUGGCUGGAGAAGUUCAGACACAGAGUGCGGGAGGUACCCAGUGGUAAGGGGAGGGGUGAGAAGGAAGCGAAGGAGAUGGGAAGGAACGCCAGGGAAGGAAACAGGGGAGAGCGGGGUGUCCUGAAGGAACGUGUUUCCAAGCAGAGGGCGUGAUCGUCUGUGUUCAAGUGUUGCUGAACGUCAGGUCAGAUACAGGCUGAGAACUGACCCUGGAUCUGGCAGCGUGGAGGUCAUUGGUGACUUUGAUAAGAGCCGGAUGAGUGAAAUGGUGAGGACGUCACCGAUUCCAGCUGGUUCAAGCAAAAAUGGGAGGAGAGGAAGCGGAGCAGGUGCUUUCAAGGAGUUGUAUUUUCUGCUGCCCCAGUGCGGGCCAGGAGAGGGCAGAGAGUUGGAUUUAACCUGGGAUGGGGAUUUUGCCAGGGAAGUGCUGGGAAGGGAGGGAGGGGCAAGGGAGCUGAGCACUGAUGUGACGGUGGGCAGUGGACUCUGAGCUUGGCCGGGAGCAAAAGUGGAGCACGAGGGAGACGAGGGGCAACAAGAAGCCCUGGGGUCGCUGGACUCGAGGAGUAGGGCCAUGGAAUUGUUGGCGUAGGGACAGUCAGAGAGUGGGAUGCUUCAAUCUGGUAUCACCCAGGGGUGCAGUUACGGUUAACAUCAAGGUCUAGGGCAGUGCUGUCCAGUAGAAAUAUAAUGGAGCCGCACGUGUAAUUUGUAAUGUUCUAGGACCCAUAUUUUUAAAAAGUAUAAACAAACGAAAUUAAUUUUAAUAAUAUAUUUUCUUUAGCCCCAUGUAUUAUGUGAACAUGUAAUCAAUAUAAAAACUGUUGAGAUAUUUUACCUUUAUUUUGUACUACAUCUUUGACGUUUGAUAUGGAUUUUAUGCUUCCAAAGCAUCUUAGUUCAGACUAGGCACAUUUCAGUAGCCACAUGUGGCUUGUGGCUACCAUACUGGACAGCGUAGGUCUUGGGAAUGAUCGUGGAAAUACAGUCCAAGGGUACUGGGGGGGAUUGGGUUAAGGAACAGGGAGGCCAGGGUUUGUGAAGGACUGUCUGUGCGGAUCUGAAACCACUUAUGGUCCUGAUGAGACGAGCAGGGUCGGAGAGGCAGGAGAGGGAGACUGGGGCUGUUGGUAGGGUUGCUGCUGCAGUGGCCUCUGCUCUAACUUUCUACCCACCAAGGAGCCCUUCUGCCCCUGAUCCCGUUACACUUCUCAAAGCAUCUGUGAGGUUCUGGGGGAUUGUUCUUGCCUCAAGUCAGAUCCAAGUGGUAACUCCUUGGAAUUAGGGGCUUGAGGCAAGAAUUCUGAGUCACAGAAAACAUCAGAACACAAGGCCGUAAUUUUGCAGGAUCUCCCCCAAAUGGCAACUUUUCACUGGGGUUUUGACUUUUAUCCUUUAGAUACCUAUCUUUAUUUUGGCAUAAUCUUCAAAUUCCUCAAAUUCUAUUAAUUGUAUUUAACAAUGCUAAAUGUAUUUGAAUCCCUGCAGAAGCCCACAUUUAGUAGCUUUGAGGCAGUCCCAUGUAAUAGAGUAUACAGAACCUGCCUGCCGUCCGAUGCUUUUAAAAGGCAGGCGUGGUCAGCCUUUUAUUAUGCAAAGACUUCACGUGUGUGUGUGUGUGUGUGUGUGUGUGUGUGUGUGUGUGUGUGUACACAGGCAGACGUCAGAGAUACUGUGGGUUUGGUUCCAGACCAGUGCAAUAAAUUAAAUAAUGCAGUAAAGAGAGUCACAUGAAUUUUUUUGGUUUCCCAGUGCAUUUAAAAGUUAUGUUUACACUAUACUGUACUCUGUUAAGUGUGCAAUAAUAGCAUUAUGUCUAAAAAACAAGGUACAUACUUUAAUUAAAAACAUACUUUAUUGCUAGACAAUGUUAACCAUCAUCAAGCCUUCAGCGAGUUGUAAUUUUUGCAGGAGUAGUAUCAAAGAUCGUAGAAUAAUAAUAGAAAAGUUUGAAAUAUCGCAAGAGUUACCAAAACGUGACACAGAGACGUGAAGUAGGCAAAUGCUGUUGGAAAAAUGGUGCUUAUAGACUUGCUUGUUACAGGGCUGCCACCAACCUUCCAAUCUGUCAAAAACGCAGUAUUGUGAGGUGCAAUAAAACGAGGUAUGCCUGUGUGUGUGUGUGUGUGUGUGUGUGUGCGCGUGCUUUGAUCCACAAUGUGUCUUUAAAGGUUAAUCAACAUUGAAGGUGAGGUCGGAAAGCUAUUUUUUAGCCUUGUAGGCUAGGGAAAGUGAUGAACUGUUUGGAAAGAGUGAACAGGACACCUCAGCAGCACACACGCUCUUAAUACUUCCCAUACCAAUAAUGAACCCCCGGGGAAAAGGUGAAUGGCUACCCUGAUUCUGUCCCUUUAUCAAGUUGAAAUUACUUUAGGUUCCCUUUAGUUUGUUUUCUGUAUUAAGAUGAACCCCCAAAUCCUCAAAAGUCCUAUCAGCCCCCAAAUUAGGGGGAGCCCACUUUGAGCCGAGCAUUUGUGAACCAUAUGCCCUUGGAUGACUUAGUGUUGAGGGCGUCAUUGCUUGUUGAUUCCAUGUGAGCUGACACCACGAGGAAGCGGGGUCUACCUGGUAGUCUGUGUUUUCAGCAUCCCAACUUCAGUAAUGCCCUCAGUAUCACAGAGAAUCCGCUUGGUCCCUGACUGUGCACUUUUAUAUUUUAAGUUUAUCUUUUAAGUAUGACGGACUUCUCGCCCAUUGUAGUCACAGGAAAGAAAAAACUCAGUAAACACAAUUUAGUAAUAAUGAAAGCUUACUCAUUAUAUAAGAUUUGUUAAACUCUAUUCUAAUUCAGAUGUUUCCAUCUGACGGGGAAAUGAAUACCAAGAGCUGGAAGUUAAGCAAGAAAUUAAAAAACGUUAAUGGCUCAAUUGCCGUUUGUUUUGAGGUUUUCCUCCCCAGUAAGCGGUAUUUUACUUACAAAGUCACUCCUUUACACACACAUCUUUAUGACGAAUGGACGGGAAUGUAUCCCAGCAAAAGAAGAGCUAUUUUAUGAUGCCACUUGUAAAUUAUAACACGUUACGUUAGAGAACCAAAGGAUUAGCUUUUUAAAAUCAUCGUUAGUGUAAUUACUUAAUUUGCUACACACACAAUUCUGGUUUCUUAGAAAGUGAAGGUCAGCGUGUCUAGGAGACCAGGAAGGUGAGCAUUUGGACAUCUGUUCAUUUUUUAAAAAUUUAGACAUGGGUCGCUAGCGUGCUCUUGUUAUAAUUCUAGCCUCAAAAAAUCCAGAGUGUAACAUUUAAAUUUGUAAUUUAUUCCUUCAGAACUUUACUGCUGAAAUUUAAGAUGUAACCACGUAGUCGGUGUAACCUCAGCCAAGGCAGGUGUCUGGCCUGCAGUAGGCAAGCUCCUGCCCUCCUGCCUCCUCAGGGUGCAGAGACCCCACACGCACGCCAGCUCUCUGGAUGGUUCUGUGCACUGUCAUCUGCAUCUGCCCUUACUAGUAACGUACUCAUUAACCUGAUGCCCCCGUCUCUGGAUGUCGAUGUAGGUGCAGAGAGAGAAAUACCAGAGCCCACAGCCCAGCACGCCUGCACCAGCCACCUCUCACCUCACCCCCACUGCCGGACACUUCUGUCCCUCACACGUGCUGUUUCUUUCUCUCCCCUGGCCCUUCCUCCCCAGAUCUGCUUUAUCUCGCAGAAGUUCCUUCUAGAGGCCAGCCCAGCUGUCACUUCUCCACACACCCUUUCUGCACAGCCUGACCUGUUGGUUCACUCUUACCGUGGGCACUGCUUUCCAUCCCUCUGAGGGCCCUUGCCACCUUGUAUUGUAAUUUCUCUCUUUAUCGGCAUCUUUAAUUCACGAAACUGUGAGUCUGGAGCAGGUGCUGGGCCUCACCUAUUUCUUUUUCCAUAGCACCCAGCCCAGCAUCUGCAUGUAGUUGUGGGUGGCUGAAUGGGGCAGGUGACACACUGUGGUCAUGUACCUUCAAGCCAAAGAGGUACACUUAAUAACUGUUUUGAGGGAAGAGAAUAGAUACUGUUUUUGUUGAUACACAUCUUAAAAUUUUGGUAGCAGAAAGCAGAUGGGCAAAGAGCAAUAGAAAACAAGUCAGAAACUGCUGUCUGAUUCCAUAGAGACAAUCACGUUAUGGUAAAAAAAAAAAAAAAUAUAUAUAUAUAUAUACACACACACACACACACAUAUAUAUGUGUAUAUAUAAAAUUUACAUUUGAUCGCCUUGAAACCUUCCAUCUGUUGUUCUGCUGUCUUAACUAAUUAUUUAAUUGAAUAGCACCUAGGGAAAUAGAUAUAAAUGUCAUGAGAGCUUCCCUUGUAAGAAGCUCUUUUCUUUUUGUAAUGUGUCCUUUUUAGGACGCCUUCAAGGCUUGUGAAAUCGACUGUCUUCUGAGCAUUGGACACGUGCCUGAAUAUGAUGGUUCUUUUUUACUUACCUCGAUUCACUGGAAUUCAAUGGUCAUGCUAAUAUUCAGUCAAUUUGAGGACUGGUUGGAAAUCAGUCCCCAAAUCAAAAAACAAAUCAGACAGCAUCACUCCCCCCAGAACACCAUGCGUUCCCAGCUUGCCUUGUAAGACUCAUUGGUACAGUGUUCAGUGUCUUACCCCAAAUCACUUACUUUAUGGCUCUUCCCCCCAAGAGUACCUAAGCAAGGGGUUGUAAAUGAGAGACAGAUUUGAGAAAACAGAUCUCAGGCUUUCCUUCACCAUCAGUGUGCAUUUGGGUAAUUUUAAGGGGACUGUAGAAAUCACCUAUAGCUUAUUAUUGGGAUCUUACAUAAUUAGCAACUGGUAGUCCAUUUCCUUAUUCUGUAUCCUUUGAAAUCCUGUAUUUUUCUAACCUGUGAAACUGGCCUAGGAACUAACGAUUGGGAGUGCUUGGAAUUCAGUUUAAGAAGUUCACCUUUUUAGU
Long non-coding RNA from Orcinus orca (killer whale), 6649 nucleotides. RefSeq lists it as uncharacterized. Lineage: Eukaryota; Metazoa; Chordata; Mammalia; Artiodactyla; Delphinidae. The record is from RefSeq and is a predicted model, not a curated record. The transcript is spliced from 2 exons.